RNAcentral lists this ribosomal RNA (274 nucleotides) under uncultured bacterium. RNAcentral describes it as "partial 16S ribosomal RNA". It matches the Rfam family "Bacterial small subunit ribosomal RNA", at positions 523 to 796 of the family's 1533-position model. The record is from RNAcentral.
AUACAGAGGGUGCGAGCGUUAAUCGGAAUUACUGGGCGUAAAGCGCGCGUAGGCGGCCUAUUAAGUCAGAUGUGAAGUCCCAGGGCUCAACCUUGGAACUGCAUCUGAUACUGGUAGACUAGAGUUUUGGAGAGGGAAGUAGAAUUUCAGGUGUAGCGGUGAAAUGCAUAGAGAUCUGAAGGAAUACCAGUGGCGAAGGCGACUUCCUGGCCAAAAACUGACGCUGAGGUGCGAAAGCGUGGGUAGCAAACGGGAUUAGAAACCCCAGUAGUCC